Molecule: ribosomal RNA, 502 nt
Filed under: uncultured bacterium
Lineage: Bacteria
Description: partial 16S ribosomal RNA
Rfam family: Bacterial small subunit ribosomal RNA
Source: RNAcentral
AUUGAACGCAGGCGGCAGGCUUAACACAUGCAAGUCGAGCGGUAACAUUUCUAGCUUGCUAGAAGAUGACGAGCGGCGGACGGGUGAGUAAUACUUAGGAAUCUACCUAGUAGUGGGGGAUAGCUCGGGGAAACUCGAAUUAAUACCGCAUACGACCUACGGGAGAAAGGGGGCAACUUGUUGCUCUCGCUAUUAGAUGAGCCUAAGUCGGAUUAGCUAGAUGGUGGGGUAAAGGCCUACCAUGGCGACGAUCUGUAGCUGGUCUGAGAGGAUGAUCAGCCACACCGGGACUGAGACACGGCCCGGACUCCUACGGGAGGCAGCAGUGGGGAAUAUUGGACAAUGGGGGAAACCCUGAUCCAGCCAUGCCGCGUGUGUGAAGAAGGCCUUUUGGUUGUAAAGCACUUUAAGCAGUGAAGAAGACUCUUCGGUUAAUACCCGGAGACGGUGACAUUAGCUGCAGAAUAAGCACCGGCUAACUCUGUGCCAGCCGCCGCGGUAA